Molecule: long non-coding RNA, 660 nt
Filed under: Fukomys damarensis (Damara mole-rat)
Lineage: Eukaryota; Metazoa; Chordata; Mammalia; Rodentia; Bathyergidae
Description: lncRNA (ENSFDAG00000024137.1)
Source: RNAcentral
CCCCAGCCCUUGUCACAUUGCUCAGCCACCACUGAGCUUCUUCUCAGUUUUGCCGAUGCCACAGGGUCCUGACCUCAGUACAGAGGACUUGUCCAUCCUUCAUGGAAGGUCUGCCCUGCCACCAUGAGGUCUGCGCAGGCCUGUGGAGAUGGAUGUCCCUCCUGUGCUGCUAGGAGGCUUUCUGGUCAACCUGCACUUCAGGACUCUCCACACCUUGAUAUAUACUUCUGCAAAAUACACUGGACGCCUUAAGACGCUGAGACCCGGCGACCUAGGCCCAUAAAUCCAUCACGAGGAACAGUCAGAGAUGGAAUCAGAGAUCCAAGUGAGGGGUCAGCGGUGACAUUUAUAAUGGCCAGACAUACAUGGCAGCCAUCUAUGUGCCUAGCAAUGGGACGUGCGGGGUCAGAAGUAGGACAACCCUUGGUGGAAAGUGGUACAGCCACAGACAAGGAGACAGUCAGCAGCCAGAGAAAGAGUUCUGCCGCCGUUAAUGGUCUCAUCGGCCGUGCUCUCCUCGUCUUCACGGUCGCGUCGCCGUCACCGUCCUUACCACGACCGCCGGCAUCUGCAGCGCCAUCGUCGUCACCGGCGCCCUCUCCACCAGCGCCUUCAUCAUCCUCAUCCUCAUGGUCACGCAUCGCCACGGCCAUUUAUUGA